CGGGGGCACCUCCGCGAAGCCGCUGCUCGCUCCUCUGGGCUUCUGGGGUUCCCUUUCGUUGCUCUUUCUCCUCUCUUGCGAUUCCCCCCGAGUUCCAUCGUCUCUGGUCCGGAUCACUCCGCGGCGGUGAUCGGACGGGGGUACCGGUCGGGCCUGCUUUCCCCGCCACAGACCACGAUAACGUCUGCCAAUGCGAAACCCUAGACGACAUCAAGAAGCACCUCUGGGCAACCAAGUACGCCCCUAUCUCCGGAAUGCAGAAUUUUUGCUUGGAGUAAUCGGGUAUAGUCACAUGAUUAACAAUGUUGUCCUUAUGGUCAUUGGCACUCUACAUGAGAGAGAAGUCCAAGAACUAUUAAGAAAAUGCCAUCAUUUGGGCAUGCCCGCAUCACUACCCUUGCAGUGUCCCAAAAUAUGUGUGAGCAAGGUUUUAUGUACCGAUGGGAUGGUAGGGCAUUCCACCAUCCCCAGCGUUGGGACAAGGCACCAUCCCUAGUGGGGAUGGGAAGAGUCGAGAAAUGAACUAGGAAGGGAAGUAUCAGUAUGCCGGAUGUCUCAUUCUAACCCUAAUGUUAGGACAAGGCAAUGUCCCCAAUGUCAGGACGGGAAGAGUUGGGAAAUGACUAGUAUGAGAAGUGGCAGAAUGCAGGAUGUCCUGUUCCAUGAAAAAACCAGGACAAUCCCACCCACGGUAUUUAAAGCAUUAUUCGUGAGCUUUACAAGCUAGUCCUUGUUCAUACACCAUUGGCUUCAUAGUUCUCUGGAUGUGUCACAUUAGAGGUACUUUAUACUGACUUGGUCUUUUCAGAAUAUUGCAUGUGUAUGCUCUUUGUACAUAUUUUUGUUGGGAAAUUGAUAAGUCUUAUACCUGUCUUGCUUUUACUUGAACUAUUAACAAGAGUGUUAAGCUCUUGCUUACCCAUUCUUCAGCAUUGCUACCCUUGCAGCGGCCAGAGCUUUACAGGCUAGUCCUUGUUGAUACACCAUUGGCUCCAUACUUCUGGGCAUAUCACAUCAGAGCUACUGACUUAGACUUACCCAUUCUUUUCAGAAUAUUGCAUGUGUAUGUUCUCGUACAUAUUUCCAUUACAAAAUAAAAAGGCUUGUUUUUCUUGAAAGUGGUAAAAGCGACAUAAUGGUUUGGUUUUCAAAAUGAUUGUAGCUCCACCAGUAAAUUGUUGUUGCUCAUGCCAAACGGCUAGGCUGACUUGAUAUCAUCCUAAACAAGUAUGAUGUCCAAAUGAUUUUGCAUUCUAGGUAAAUAGCUGUUUACAGUUCCUUGAAGUAGCAUAAGUGCAAUCUUGACAUUCCACCUUUUUUUUAUGCAACCCACAAUGUUGCAACUCCAUUAAUCCAAUGAUUUUUAGUCCUAUAAUAUUUUUCUCAUGCUACUGUCAGUUUCAUGAUAGAAAAUUUCAAAGUGGCUCACUGUUGUUGUCUCUUUAGGUUUUAUUGGUACAAUAUUAGCACUGAGCUGACUCGAGAUGACUUUUGGAAGCUUUAUGCUAAUUUUGGUUUGCUGCAAGCUUUUUUUUAUCUUUAUUUCAUAUGGAGGUCUUCCUCUUGUAAGAGAUGCUUAAUUGAAUAGUAUCUUUAAUAUAGUUUCAUAUCUUGGGACCAUAUUCAUCCCGUAGCUGUUUUCUCUAAUUAAUGGUGAUUAAUGAAUUGUGGAAUUAAUAAGCUAAUAUCCGAUAUGAGAAUGCUAAAAAUGAGUGCCUGGACCUCAUGUUGUUCAGUGCAUAUUAGUGCAUACUAGUUUUUGGAUUUAUUAUGAGAGCGCAUUGUUUAAAAUCUGGCAUAGCAACAGGUAAACUUUCAGCAUGUGAAUGCAUUUUAUUCACGUCUAAGUUUUCACUGCUAAGGAAGAGCUUUUAUGUGAACUCAAUUGCAAAGUGCAAUUUUAGGACAAAGUUCAAUGUUAAGAUACCUUUCUGACAGGGAAAAUAGGAAGGUCUGAAUCUGCAUAGGGAGAGAUGCAAUACUUCUACUACCCUGAUAUCUUGCAUGGUGACACUGGUCUUCGCAUCGCCAUUUGUAGGUGUGCCUAUGCUAAGAUUAGGCUGUUCCAGACAUUAUAGUGUUUUUUGCAGUUCAUUUUUCGUUGCUUUUAGACAAGUCAAACCUGCCCUAGGCCGAGCGCUUCCUCCUUGAGAAAUGGGGUGGCGUGGUAUUCCACGAGAUAGGUUAAUAUUGUGGCACACAAUGUAAAGCGUGUGAUGGGCAGACAUAAAUAUCUGGCUACCUUUGGCCGCUUUGCUGUCUCGAGCAGCAGUCAGAGCGAGAGGUUUGGCCAACAUCUCUCUUCUAAUAUUUUCUUUACAGUUGUGCCUCUUUUAAUGGAUAAAACAAUUGGCCAACAUCUCUCUUCUAAAUAACAAUUACAAACCCAAUUUGAUCGGGUUGGUUUGGUUUCUGAUCGCGGUGUUUGGUAGUCCAUAUCCAACACAUAUUUGAAAUAGAUCAUACUUUUCGGUCCAAACCUAAUGAAAUGGCUUUGGUUCAUAUUGUAGUAGGUUAUUUCCAAGUCAGUCCUAGAUCGGCUAGAUCAAAAGUGGGUCAAUCCAAAACUCCAAUGUAGGGGUGCAAUCUAGCUAAGUCGAGUUGCUAGAGGCUUGAGCUUGACUCUAUUCAAAAUACUCAGGCUCGGAAGUUGACUUGAGAUCGAUCGAACCUUAAUAUCCAAGCUCAAGCUCGAAUCGAUAUAUAUAAAAAAACAGUAAUCAAGAUCGAUUCAUCGCGACUCAAGCUCGAGCUCAAGCCUUAGUUAUGAUUAAAAAAUAUGGUUAAAACAAACUAUAAUAUAAUAUAAUUUUAAAAUAUUAGAUUAAUAAUGUAUAUAUAUACACUUGACUAGGCUUCGAGCCUUCAAGCUGAGUGUUUUGCUCUUUGAACUCGACUCGAAAAAUUGUUCGAGCUUCUCGAGCUUGGUAAUUGUCGAGUUGAGUUGAGCUUGGACCAGACCUGAGAUCGAACAACUUGCGAGCUGCUUGACUCAUUUGCACCCUUUCUCCAAUGCACCUGACUCCUACAUAAUGUGGCACUUGUGCCCUACCUUUUAUUAGAAAUGUAACAUUAAAAUGUACAUUGAAUCAUGGAGUAUUGUAUAUUUCAAGUUCCUAAUUAAAUGUCACAAAAUUUGGGAAUAUUGAGCUUUAUUAUUUCCUCAGGAAUUUUGACUUUUUUUUAUUCUAUAACUCCAGGACCGCUGAUGAGAAAUGAAUGGUUUGCAAAUGGGAAAUUAUUUGACUUUCAAAUAAAAAAAUUGUGUAUAAUAUUAUAAAAACAGGGUUUUAUAUUCUGUUUCCAGUAUGAUUGAUUAGUAAAGCUCAUCAUUUUUGUUUUCCAUUUCUAUGUGUUUUUUUUUUUUUUGUUUUCAUUCUUUUAAUCUUUGCAUCUAUCAAUUUCUCAAGCAGCGCUUUAUGAAACUCAUCAUUAAGCAGUGCUAUGUAAUGCUCGGAAUUGAAUGUUUGAUGAUGUUUGCAUUUUUCCUGUUCUUCUGCUCUCCUCCCUUCUUAACCAAAGUCAUGUGGUAAUAUUUGUGUUAUAAGGUCUUACAAAAUUAUGUAGCUUUGCAUAUAAUACCUUUAUGUAAUUCAGUUUCAGUUGGCAUUAUCAAAUUCUGUGACUACCAUGUCCCAGCUUGAUCUAGUGGCCAUAUCAUUUCCUUUUCAGUUUGUGUUCAAUAGCUUGGGUUGGUUAUACCUUUUUGUGAUUGACAAUAGCAUGUACAUAUGGUUUUUGUACCUUUUUGUGCCUUUGUAAAGCUUCCAGGUUCAUGCUGCAAUGGAGAAGUAUCCUCCAUAUCAGUCAGUUUUUUCCAAAAUUUCUCAUGGGGAAAGCCAGAUGUUGGUUAAGGCAUUUUGUGAAGAGGAGGUGAAAGAGCUCUGCUUGGCAUUUGAACAGCAGGUAUGCUUGAUCAAGCAUGAAGUUUUAUUUAGAUAAUUUGUGGUUAUUUCAGUUGGCUUCUUUUGUUAUUUACCAUGGCAUUGUUCCAUGGCAAAGAGACUCAUUCAGAUUAAUCAUUGGUAAAACUCCAAGCAUUGAGGAACACCUGAUUAAAAUGAUGAUAUUUGCGGUUUUGAUAACUUAGGCAUCAACAAAAUUAUGUGCUCUUUUUUUUUAAGUAAAUGCAGAAAUACCUAAUGAAAAAAUUCUGCAGUUUUGAUAGCUUUGAUGGCCAUUAUACGAUGUGCUCUUUUCAUGAAGCACAUAAUGUGGAGUAGUGUCAUAUGUUCCUCUUCUUUUUUGUGUUCAUCAGCCAUGUUUGUCCUUGCCCAUCUUCUUAAGCAUUGGCUUUCUGCUUGCUGAUUAACUUUUCCCUGUUGAGAACAAGGGGUUGAAUAGAGAAGAGGAAUAAUAGAGAGAAGAGAGAGAAUAAUAGAGAUUAAAAUAUCCACAAAGGAGUCACUUUAUUCAAUAAAUAAAUAAAUCAUACAAAAUUUGUUCGUCCGCAUUGUCCUAUAUUUAUUGUCAUUCAAACAACCCUAAGACAAUGUUUUCUAAUCAUUAAAGGACGUCAGACAUGCCUAUAAUGGUCCUACAACUUAUGCUGUGACCUGUAUUUAUAGUCAUUCAAACAACCCUAACACAAUGUUUUCUAAUCAUAAAAGGACUUCAGACAUGCCUAUAAUGGAUCUACAACUUACACUGUGACUCAAAAUUGGACUCGUAUUCAACCAAAAUUUCUAUUGUAUCAACUUGGUUCACCUUUCCGACAAAAAUAUCAAAGACUUUUAGGCGAGAGUAAAUUCGAAACUCCAUUGAGUUCCACAUAAAAGACCAAAAAUCUUUCCAAAUCACAAUUCUAAAGAGUUUAAAACUUUCCUAACCGACCUAGACCUAAGGUAGGACUUUUAGAUGACAUUAUAUACUCAUAAUAAGACUCAAAGAUCCACUAGAAAAAUAGCUCUGAAAAAAUUGGUACAAAAUUGCGAGAAAAUAAAAUACUUAACUAACUUUGUAAGACUCCAUAAAACUAGAAUAUAACUAAGCCUAAUUUAGACCUAAACUACAUCGUCCGUCCUUCGGACUAAGGUUUUUCUUGCUUGGUGCAAAUGCUAGGAUGUAUGUGCAUACAGGUUCUGGAAGUCAUUUGCCAUAUUUUGGAUAUCAAAGCACACUUUGAUGAAUUGGAUGCUCACCUACAAAUUCUAGCAAUAUGCACAGUUCCACAAAUUAUUUCACUGUUCAGCCGGUCGGAUGGGCAAGUUUUGUUGUGAAGCUUCCCCCUUGAGUAAUGAAGUUAUUCAUUUUAAAUGCAUUGUCUUAUGCUGUCUGAUUUUGGUUGUGAUCUUCAGGAUUUACAGGCCGUAUGUAGGGAUCUAGAUUUUUAUUUUUGGAGACCCAGUUUUGGAAUUUGAUUGCAUAGCAGCAACUAAUUGCAGAUUUUUUAUUUCUUUAUUUUGCUUCCAAUACGUUAUUUUUUUUUGUGAUAAUGAGAUUAAGAACCAGUCAUGUAUAGUGUACGUUGAUAUCUUUUUCAUGUAAAACGUAAUCAAAUGACAGCGCCCUUAGCGUGCAGGUGUUUGAUUAGCUCUCCCCAGGUUGUUCCCUGAAAACUGCGCACAUUUUGUGACGCCACCAGCGACGGAGUUGGUUUCACCAAAGAUUGUGACGAGCUUUUCUCCAAAAAGAGCCCGUGGGGGUCUCCCAUGGCGCGAGCAAAGAUUUCCAGCCUAAUGCUUGCCGGAUGUCCAUUUCUUGGACGACCUUGAAAACUCUUCCAACCAAAAAUCCUUCCUCAGCCUUUUUUUUCCCUCUCUUUUCUUGUUUUAUAAAGAUCCUGACUUCUGAAUGAAGCUGGGGGGGAGAACUGAACGGAAGAGGGCAUCAUAUAAACACUUAUAUUUCUUGCUUGGCCAUGCUCAAUAAAACAAAGUGUACAUGCUACAAAAAAGAAUAAAGGGAGAAUGCUAAUGAUGCAAGGUUCGAAAUUA
Phoenix dactylifera (date palm) is the source of this 5936-nucleotide RNA transcript. It is a transcript of the gene named V-type proton ATPase subunit d1-like, with no coding region annotated. The record is from RefSeq and is a predicted model, not a curated record. NCBI's taxonomy places the organism in Eukaryota, Viridiplantae, Streptophyta, Magnoliopsida, Arecales, Arecaceae.